RNAcentral lists this ribosomal RNA (293 nucleotides) under uncultured eukaryote. RNAcentral's name for it is "partial 18S ribosomal RNA". It matches the Rfam family "Eukaryotic small subunit ribosomal RNA", at positions 6 to 299 of the family's 1831-position model. The record is from RNAcentral.
GGUUGAUCCUGCCAGUAGUCAUAUGCUUGUCUCAAAGAUUAAGCCAUGCAUGUCUAAGUAUAAACAACUUUGUACUGUGAAACUGCGAAUGGCUCAUUAAAUCAGUUAUCGUUUAUUUGAUGUUACAUUACUACUUGGAUAACCGUGGUAAUUCUAGAGCUAAUACAUGCGCAAAGUCCCGACUUCUGGAAGGGAUGUAUUUAUUAGAUAAAAAACCAACGCGGGUAACCGCUUCUUUGGUGAUUCAUAAUAACUUUUCGAAUCGCAUGGCCUUGUGCUGGCGAUGCUUCAUU